GAAGGUCAUCAGCCGCGUGCGCCACCGCAACCUCGUGCAGCUCGUGGGGUGGUGCCACGAGAAGGGGGACCUGCUUCUCGUCUAUGAGUACAUGCCCAACGGCAGCCUCGACGCCCACCUCUACGGCGGCGGUAGUCCUCUGUCGUGGCCGACGAGGUACAGCAUCGCUCGGGGUGUCGCGGCGGCGCUGCUUUACCUCCACGAAGAGUCGGAGCAGUGCGUGGUGCACAGGGACGUCAAGUCGAGCAAUGUGAUGCUGGACACCAAUUUCAACGCCAAGUUAGGGGAUUUCGGCCUUGCGAGGCUCGUGGACCACGGCGGCGGCAUGGAGACGACGGCCGUGGCUGGGACGAUGGGGUACCUGGCGCCGGAAACCGCGACGACGGGUAGGGCGAGCAAGGAGUCGGACGUCUACAGCUUCGGGGUGCUGGCCUUGGAGAUCGCCUGCGGGAGGAGACCCAUCGAUUACGGCAAUAAAGAGGAUCGGGUUAGUCUCGUUGACUGGGUUUGGGAUCUCUACGGGAAGGGCGCCGUUUUGGAGGGGGCGGACGAGAAGCUGGGCUCGGACUACAACCGGCAGGAGAUGGAGCGGCUGAUGGUGGUGGGGCUGUGCUGCGCCCACCCGGACCACCUGCAACGGCCGUCGAUGCGGCAGGUGAUUGGCAUUCUUCUUUUCGAAAUGCCAUUGCCAAAUCUUCCGGUCCAGAUGCCGGAGCCGUCCUACGGAGGGGUUUCCGUUUCUAGGUCCAACCUGGCCACCAUCAACGGGUGGUCGUCGCCUCCGUCGAUUCAGCUGGCUUCCACUGACAGCAAACCACUUCCGUAUCCGCCCGUCAGGUAAAGCCAUCAGAUUCAACGUUUUCGUUUUAUUCUUCGAUUUACUCUUGGCUUGUCUUUUUAGGCGGUCGUCGCAUUAACGGGUCCAGCGACUGGGCUGACCAUUUCUCACCAAAACGGCCGUCGACCGACAGAUCUCAGUGCACGCUCCAACUCUCCCAUUAACAACCACUCGGUCCUUAGAGGUGUUAAUAAGUAGAACCUCUCUUCUCUACUUCAGUGUACUAUUUGACAGUUGUGAAGAGAAGUUCAACGUAGAUAUCUAAGGGCCUAAUCGAAGUUUUGAAGGCCAUGAUUAGAUAUCUAUUUUCUGAGUUCUUGAUGAGAGUUUUCUUGUGAUCUUAUCAUAUCUAACUAAAGCUUUCGUCAUUGUUUUUCGUAGACAAAAGAAGAGGUAUAUGGAACCAUGUUAAAGUGUUUUAUGCUAGUACCCUAUUAUGAGUUGAUCACAUCAUGUAGAUUGCAUAAACAAUAUUUUGCUAGUACCCUACUAUGGGUUUUGUUCACCUAUUUUUUUUGCUUUAUUUCAUUACUCCUAGGUGAGUUCAUGACUCCUCCACACCUUUCACUAGAACAUGGACCAGAUCUGCAUAAUCGACUAAGAGAGGAGAUCAAUUCAACCUGUCUAAGUUUAUCUUUUCUUUCAUAUCAGCUUUUAGGUGGCUGUGACUCCCAACUCUCUCUAGUGUAAGAGGAUUCCUCUCGUUUACCCUUAAAAUUCACAGGCAACACUACUGCGGAUUUGAGUUUGGCAAGAAGUGAACUCGAUGAGCUCCAAAAGAGUAAAAGGAAAAUAUGUUGUAAGUAGGGAGAAAGUACGUCCAGAUAUGGAGGAGAAGAGGGCUGGAAUAGAGGAUGGACGGGAGUUCGUGGAACAAAAUAAGCCCUCAAAAUCAAAUUUCUUGAGUUGUUUACAACCAAAUAGAGAGGGUUUUAUCUGAAGGUAGAGAACUUAAUUCAAAAUUGAUUAAAAACAAAAAAAAGAAGGAAGAGACUAAAACUCAUGAUUUCUAGAUAUUAAUAUGCAUACUCAACUAUAAACUCAUGAGAUGCAGUUAGGAAUCUAACUUAAUGUUUUCCUUCAAACUAGUUACAUUGAUAUUGAUGAUAUUUCUCAAUUGUUGUCCUUACAUGGCAUCUAAAGAUGCUGCAUUAACAUGAAGCCGUACCUAGGUCAAUACAUACAUUUUAACAAUAUGGGAAUUUUUUUUAUUAAAGUCAAUACCUUUCUCUUUGCAUAAACCUUUCACAACUAAUUUAGUCUUGUACUUUAGAUGUAAAGGUUAUCAUUGAGUCUUCAGCUUGAAAGUUCAUUUGUUCUCUAUGGCUUUCAUCCCCUUUGAUAGUUAUACUAGAUCAUGUAUGUGGUUUUUCUACAAUGCCUCCAUUUCUUCACACAUUGCUACUAGCCACUUAAUUUUAAGCUCAAUUUCAACUACCUUUCGGUAACUAUCUAGUUCGCCUACAUCAGUAAGUAUAAUAUAUUUACCUAGAGGAUGAAUUUUAGAAGGUUUUAUAUGAUCCAAGAAAAAUUAUAGAUGAGUCUUCAUGGGAGAAUGUUCCUUCACUUCUCCAUGCUCAUCAUGUUGAUAGACUCCUAAGUACCCAAGUCCCUUGUCGCCAGAAACGGAGCAAAAGAAAGGAACGGAUUGCCAGAGCGGAAGACCAGCGCCCAACAUGAGUAAGUUUUGGGCCAGAAAUGAUGGGCCCAGAUGGAGGGCUUGGGCUGGUUAAGGCCUGACCAGUCAACAGCCAACUGUCACAGCGACAGUUUAAAUACUAGAGCAAGAGAUCGAGCGGGAGGAGAGAAAAAUCAAGAUUCUUCUACCCCAUCUGCCUCGACGUUUCACUCUGUCUGUCUGUCUGUCUGUCUCUCUCUCUCUCUCUCUCUCCCUCUCUCUCUCUCUGUUUCGCUCUCUAUUUCUCUCUCUCUUUCUUUCGUCAUGAUCUCGGCUAGAUCUGCUGUUCAUCAACAUCCUUGCUGCCUGAUCCUUUACCUCCUUCUGCAUUGUCUUUCCGGAGUUCGGAAAUGAUUGCUCUCGAGAUCAGGAACUAGUAAUUCUUGCAUUUCAAGAAAUUGAGAAAGGUGAUUGCGUACGUAAUACUUCUUCUUGUUCUCUGAAAUUCUUGUGUCUAAAAUCUUAAUAUCUUAUUUUGAGUAAAUUUCUUGAUAUCCUUCUGUUCUAUCUUUGAAUCAUUGGUUGAACUUCAACCGUUCCCUCCAAAUUUAUAUUGAUUGUGAGGAAUAUAAAAAAAGGAGAUCCUAUCACAUGUCUUAUAGGCAAGUUUGCAUCAAUUUCACUUAUAUCAUGUCCAUAGUAUUAGAAAGGCAGCAGCUGGAUGACGGGCAGCGGUGGAAAUAGUCGGACGGAAGAAGUGGUGGCAGAUGGAUAUUGGCCCUCAGGACCUCUCCUUCGGAGCGAAGAUGGUUGACCCUCACGGCCUCUCCCUCAUGGAGCAGACACAAGUAGUUCCUCAGAAUAAUCUCUUAUCUGGAGAUGGUCGCAAGACCUCGCCGCUCCUAGUUAGAAGCUCCACCUUUGUCUCUAUCUGGUCGUUGUCGCCAUCUGUCGUCGCCUCCACCACUGCCUUCGCUGCCACCGCCAUCUUCCUCGUCUUCUGCCGUCGUCUUCUUCCUCGUCGUCCACCACCAUAGGGGCGCGAGACAACUCUCUCUAAGGAGCUCGGCAAAAUAGCCCCGUAACUUCGGGAGAAGGGGUGCCUCCUCACAAAGGGGGUUGCAGCGACCAGGCCUGGGCGACUGCCGCCACUAUUUUGUAUAUGUCCGCUUCGGCCUCCGACACUCUUGGUCCGCCACUAUCUCUACCUUCAUUGCCGUCGCCUCCAUCCCGUCGCCGACCACCUCAUCGCCGCCGCCGGCUGUCCAAGAUCAACCCCAUUCUGUCGUCGCCGCCACCAUCCCUUCCCGCUUCUUCCACUGCCAUUGUCGCCCUUCCCAACCUUUGUUCCUCUGGUGAUCUGUUCCGCCGGUUUCUUUCCCAAUUAGGGCUUAAAGGCCCCGAUUCGUGGGUCCCAAUCUACUGGUUGAACUCGUUCGGUGAUCUCGACCAGGCCACCCUCCGAUGCGAGCCCCAUUGGUCUGAACGAACCCGCCACAGGUUCGAGCCAACGUGGACAAUUGGGUCCACGUCGUUCUCCCGCGCCAGGCCGAGCCAUUCUGACCAUCUGGUCCACGUCGGGCAUCCCGUCCAGCUGGAGCCAAGACUCAAUCAAAUUUCUACGACAUAGUGAAUGAUCAAUUAUCUAGGCAACGGUCAACAGCGUGGUCAAAAGUCAACUAUUAAUAUUCUGCAACCAAUAGUCUCUCUUCUCAGUCCUUUCCAAGGUAAGUAGUUCUCACGCAUCAUAUAUCUCUGCUCAUUUAAUAUAUUCUUAUUGCGAUUGUCCGAGGGUGACUAUAGUGUAACCAUAUGUUUCUGAGUUUAAUGAGCAUAGUAUAACGACUGGUGACUUUUCUGAGCUACCCGAUCACGGCUGUCCUUGUAGAAACACAGCCGUCACGAGGGCCCUCGGCCGUCAACCUUGUGGGAAGAAAUGUACCCGUCAGACCUCAGCUUUCCUCCUGCCCGUGGACAGCGUAGAGGUCAACGUGGACAGGCCACAUGCACUGAAUGCAAUUAAACGUGUUUAAACAUUGUACCCCGUCAGUCUUCAUUUUUGUAAAGAUUUCAAGGAUCUUCCAUGGAAAAUCUAAAAGCUCAACGAAUUAUCUUUGAUGCGAAGUGGAAGUGAAAAGGAUCGAGUAGUUUAAGAAAACCAUUUGAUGUAGAAUGCUCAACGAUUUUAUAGUUCAGAAAAUGUUUAAUACCACAGUUUAACAAUACACUGAAUAUGUAAAGUGGCUAUCGUAUGAUCUCUCAACCCACUAUAACAAGAAAGUAUAUUAAAUGAACAAAUGAAAUAGAGAAAUAAGAAGAUAUACUUGAACAUUGAAAAUAACGGUUGACCAUUGACCAAUAUAUUUGACCUUUUAUCUGUUUACCGAUGACUUGUCCUUGUUGACGGUUGACUGUGGAUGACCAAUCAGCUGCAGCGGCUCACAGCUAAGGGGUGGACCUGACUUGGUCCCAGUGGCUGGAUGGCUUUCGCCAGACGGUUUGGAUCGCGGCUGGCUAAAAGGUGUAAGUGUUGGUGGGCGGCUGGAAAUGGGCCAGGUAAAAUCAAGCCCUAGCCGUAAGAGGAGGGGCCAUCAGGAGGCGGCGGGAGAGGGGAAAGAGGGGUCGGUGGCGACGGCAGGCGGAGGCUGCAGCCGGUGGCGAGGGGAUGGCAGGCAGCGGCGGGCGGCGGAAAGGUGAGAGCUGGCGGCAAGGCCAUGGCUGGUAGCGGCAGGCGGUGGCAGGCGUCGGGAAGACGACGGCUGGCGGUGGCGGGAGGUAAUGGCGGCGAGCAGUGGCCGGCAGCGACGGGCGGAGGAUGAUGCGACUGGAAGGUGGUGGCGAUGCAGGCCGCGGCGGUACAAUGGCGAUAGAAGAAAGGGAAGGUGGGGGAGGGAAUGGUGCUCCAGACCAAGAGUGGCGGGGUCCUCUGACCAACCCAAGCCGGGGUGACGGGAUCUUACGAUCAGUUAAGAUAAGGAACUAAUCCUCAAAACUCCAUUUUUAAUUCUCCUUAAAUCAAAGGUCUGAAGGCCGAUUUAUAAGCCUUUCUACAGUGAAAUCUUAGUCAGUCAAUAAUGAAGGAAAUCUUCUAUUGCAAGGCAUUUGUUUUGAUGGCUUAAUCGGCGCGUAGCCGGAUCAAGGGCGUCGUCCACACCUUCUAUGUUGGUCAUUCCCCCAAUUUGAUUCAAAUCACCUUCCUUGAUCAAGAGAUGGUUUGGGCGCGCUGCAUCAAUCCCCCACCGCAAAAAGCGGUCCUCGUGGCCACGGCAGGGUUGGUUGGUGAUCCUCACCGUCCUUCCGGGAAAAGACCUCGCGACUUACCCCUUGUCCCCUUCGAGGACGAUGGAACCUUCGUGUGGCGGCUCCGGUAGGUCAACUUGGGGCUGGAUGGUCGCCGCCUUUCUUGAAAGCCUCACCGGAACACGCGUAGACCGAAGCGAUUAUCGCUUCAUUAUUUAGGGGCGCCGCCACCCACUCGCCCAUCAGGAGGAGCGCUCGAAUUUAAUAAACGAGCGGUUACUGUCACGAUAACAAGGCCGAGAACUUACAAAAUGUUUCAUAGCCAGAGUGCCGUGACGGCUUUCGCACCUUACAGCGGCCUUGUGGAGGCCCCAACCCACCUCCACGGAAAUCAUCGUUGAGCCAUGCCGCCGGGCGCCUCCAUCGCCUCUUUGCUCCUCCUGCUCGCCUUCGUCCUCGAGGCGCGAGGGGAGACGGUGACCACCUCUUUCAACUUCCCCAGUUUCGAUUCCAGCCCCACAGACAUCACCUUCCUGGCCGAUGCCUCAUCCGCCAACGGAUCCCUAGAGCUCAACUUGAACGCCGGAUACAGCCUCGGCCGAGCCAUCUACUCGAAACCAAUCCGCCUCUGGGACAACGAAACCAAGAGUCUUGCAAGCUUCACCACAAACUUCUCUUUCUCCGUGAUCCGGCGUCCGAACACGACGGAUAACGGCGAUGGGUUAGCCUUCUUCCUCGCCCCCGUCGGCUACCCUAUUCCGGAGAACAGCACGGGUGGUUCAUUCACGCUCUUCAACCGCUCAUGUGUAGACCAACCCGCAAAGGUCCCCGUAGUAGCCGUCGAGUUCGACACCUUCCAAAACAGAGGAGAAGACGCGGCCCCCCAUGUGGGGAUCGACCUCGGCUGCUACAAGUCGAUUAGGAGCUCGAUUUGGGAGUCGCUCGAGGGUCAGACCAGUGUCACGAUCGACGCAGUGAUCACCUAUGAUGCAGGCACCACCACGCUGACAGCCUUCUUCUCCGGCAGGAGCGGCUACAUCAGGACCCUACCUUACGUCGUCGACCUGAGAAACGAGCUUCCCGAAAGGGUUGACAUUGGUUUCGCUGGCGCCACUGGUGAUUUCUUCGAACGCCAUGUGAUACAUUCCUGGAGCUUCAAUUCGAGCCUGGAUGUCGCCGUCCGUAACGGCAACACUACAAACGGAGGCGACGCGGGAGGGGGCGGCAUCAACGCUCCUCCGGACCCCCCUCCGAGCAAGAAGAAAAGCAGCAUCGGCCUACUGGCUGGUGUGCUUGCUGGCGCGGGAACCUUGGCAAUCGCAGCGGGUUUGGCACUCUUCUUCGUCCGGCGAAGAAGGGCAUAUGCCAAGAAUGGAGGACAGGACGACGUCAUCAACGACAGCGAACUUGACGAAGGCAAGGGGCCCAAGACCUUCUCUUAUUCGGAACUCGCCCGGGCAACAAGCAACUUUGCGCCAGAACAAAAGCUAGGAAGAGGAGGAUUCGGAGACGUUUACAGAGGAACCUUAACCCAGCCGAAAAUGGUGGUGGCCAUCAAAAGAGUGGCAAAAGACUCGAGGCAGGGAAAGAAGGAGUAUGUCGCCGAGGUGAAGGUCAUCAGCCGCGUGCGCCACCGCAACCUCGUGCAGCUCGUGGGGUGGUGCCACGAGAAGGGGGAGCUGCUUCUCGUCUAUGAGUACAUGCCCAACGGCAGCCUCGACGCCCGCCUCUACGGCGGUGGCAAUCCGCUGCCGUGGCCGACGAGGUACAGCAUCGCCCGGGGGGUCGCGGCGGCGCUGCUUUACCUCCACGACGAGUCGGAACAGUGCGUCGUCCACAGGGACGUCAAGUCGGACAAUGUGAUGCUGGACGCCAAUUUCAACGCCAAGUUAGGGGAUUUCGGCCUUGCGAGGCUCGUGGACCACGGCGGCGGCAUGGAGACGACGGCCGUGGCUGGGACGAUGGGGUACCUGGCGCCGGAGACCGCGACGACGGGGAGGGCGAGCAAGGAGUCGGACAUCUACAGCUUCGGGGUGCUGGCCUUGGAGAUCGCCUGCGGGAGGAGACCCAUCGAUCACGGCAAUAAAGAGGGACGAGUUAGUCUCGUCGACUGGGUGUGGGAUCUCUACGGGAAGGGCGCCGUUGUGGAGGGGGCGGACGAGAGGCUGGGCUCGGACUUCGACCGGCAGGAGAUGGAGCGGCUGAUGGUGGCGGGCCUGUGCUGCGCGCACCCGGACCACCGGCAACGGCCGUCGAUGCGGCAGGUGAUCGGCAUUCUCCUCUUCGAGAUGCCGUUGCCUGAUCUUCCGUCCGAGAUGCCGGACCCGUCCUACGGAGCGUUUUCGGUUUCAGGGUUCAAGUUGACCAGCAACAACGGGUGGUCAUCGUCUACGUCCGCGACCUCCGCUGGAUUCACCAACGGCGCCUCCGUCGAUUCAGCGGGGUCCGCCGUCUCCAAACGACUUCUGUUUCCGUCCGGCAGUUGAAUCAGUCGAAUUCAACUCUUUCGUUUUGUUUGUCUUUCACUCAGGAGUUGAGUACAGCGAGAGAGCGAGAUAUUUCUGUGUUAUUUGCACUUUCUUCCCAACUGUUCUUGCUGUAAAAAUCCCUGUAACCAAGGUUUCGAUCCUUGGAGCUUAGCUCCCUCGUCCUACUCAGUUGACGGUGGAUUCUCGCGGACCCAUUACCACGAUGUAUCCCGGCAUUUUCGUGAGGAUCCUGAAUAGAUCUGAUAGGAAGGAAAGGAUAGGUUCGGCCUCCGACGUCUGUCUAUGGCAUUCCUCCCACGGGGGCGGCACGUCACCCACCGCACCACGACGACCAUUCACGAGAACGCCGAUGGUCAGGCCAGGCGUCUGUUCACAUCUUUUGUCUACUCUGUUUCAUGGGUCCUGGGUGACUUCUUCACGUGUUCCCACCUUCCCUCGGACGCGGACGAAAUCCGGAGAAUCAGCUUGGACAUGAGAUCGAUUCAGCCCGUCCUAGUUUAUCUUCCCUUAAAGACGGUGUUUUACGUGGGUACUACUCCAUUGCUCUCCUGUCGGCGUAACAGGACUGCUCCUUACGCCAUCACCUCCCCCCCCCAAUUGGUAGCUCGCAAAUCGCAUACAACACCAGCAUCACUGGAGAUCCGAGUUCGAGUGCUGAGGGGACGCCACAGCUGGAUACCAUUCAUCCAGGGACCCAUCGUCCCUCCGGGGCUCCCCUUACUUUCCGGCCCUUGCCCAUCUCGCUAAGAAGCCACAGGCAGCUGGCCGGAUGGAAACUAGUGAAGCUGGUGAGAGCUGGCAUCUCAGCCAAUUGUUCCCCCGUCUGACUUCUGACUCGGUCCAUGCAUUACUUCGUCAUAAAGGUGUGCGAGAAUCGGGCCACAACCGGUCCUUUUCGCAUGUCGCGUCCUCUCUCUCUCCUCGGCAUGAAACGCCUCGUCAUCCUCCACCCAGCCGAUUCCCAACAACCUUUCCCUUCCAACAAUCUUUCACUUCAUCUCAUAAUAGAGAUCUUAAAUGAAAUGUCUGGUUAUUGUAUAAAUAGAUAAUAACUGCAUCAGGGAACUGUGACUUGUGACUGUACUAAAUUUCAUGUUUAUUCUUCAAAAAUUUCUCCAAGAGUUCAUUCGAAAUCACAUGUAUAUAUUUCAAAAUUCUUCUCUCUAAUCACUUUGAAAACCGAAUUAUAUAUUUCACUUUUUUUCACUAUUUAUUUAAAAACUCAAAAUAUUUUUUUAUUAAUUAAAAUACAAUUUUUAAAAUAUGAAAUCAUUUUAAAAAUAAAAUAAAUAUUAAUAUUCAUGAAAAAUUAUUCAUACUCGAUGUUUGACUUAAGACUCAUUUAUUCAUCCCCGAGACAAGUACCAUCAAAGAUUAACCAUAAAAAGUGAUUAAUAGUGGGUAUAAAAAGAAGAGCCAGUGAAAAGAAAAGAAUAUAGAAGUAGAUACAAGAGAUUGACCAUCUCAUAAUGAGUCCUUAUCUAGAAUAAUUUUACCAUCUCGUUGUCAACCACCCACCACUUUCAUUCCCUUGUUUUCAUUUUCUAUUCCAUUUGACUUAUGUCAGGUCUUCAAACUAUGUACCCUUCAAAGGAUUUUUAGGCCCUUAGUGAAAUAUUUUCCUAUGAAAAGUGAGUCACCUUUCUUCCACGUCUUGAGGCUGAUGAUAGACUAAAUGAUUGAAUGUUCAUAUGCAUGAGUGAAAGAUGAAGAUAAAGAGAUGAAGGAGGUGGAACAAUGUGGAUAAGAGAGACGAGGUAAGUGGUGAGUUUUGUUUUCUCAUAUUUGAAAGAUCUAAAACUAGAAAUCAAAUGAUUUGUAGAACAUGCUCUCAAAACAUAAUCUAUCUCUAAUUUUGAACUAAAAUAUAACCCUAGAUGAACGAGAAUUUUAACCACCAUGAAACUAACCUGACAUCAUCACUUCUUAUUCUAUAUUUCCACCAAGAGGCAUUCACUUGUAGUAGUGGGAGAGGCCUCAUUUAGGCAAGAUAAGCUUCCAUUCCUGUUGUAAUACACCUACACACAUGCAAAGUGAAGCCCUAGAAAACCUUUCCCCUCUAAGUAGGAACAAUGACCAUGGUUUUAUGUCAAUAUAUAAAGCAUUACCCUCACUCUCUCUCCUCUCUUCAUGUGAGAGAAACCACCAAAAGUUUCUCAUGCCUUCACACCUUUCUAAACAAUUACACACCAUUAGAUCAAUGGGUCUCCUCUCUCUAGUGUCUUCUACCAUUUGAUGGUUGGUUUCUUCAUCUAGUCACUUUUCUCUAUUAGAUUGAUGAACCCUUCUUUUGCCAUUAGUGCCUUUCUUAGCCAUUGGAUCCCUCUUGCCACUAAGGUCACUUGUUGUACACAAUGGCUAGAUUCCAACCACAUAUGGGAUGCCCUAGACUUGAGUAAUAAAUCAUUAAAAAUAUCUAGAGGAUAGUUAAUAAAAUAUUGAAACAUAAUGUCCAUUAUGGUUCUAUAUAAUGUCACAUCAAACAUAUAUGAAAGAAUAAUCCAAGAAAAUUCAAGAAAAUACUGGAAACAUUAAUAUACCUCUAAACAUAUUAAAAUCACACCAUUCACACCAUUGAGGUGAGGAAUUAAUAAAGAGAAUCCUAAAAAAUGUUAAACUAUAGAAGAUAAUGUGUGUUUCUAACCUACUAUUCAUGUUACUAGGGGUUCAUCAAAUGGAAUUAGAGCCACACAUCAAAUGUUGAAGAUGAUAGAACCUAAGGUAAACCUCCUUGAGAGAAGCUUGGAGAAAGUUCAUGAGGUCAAUACAACCCUCUAGCAAAACGCCAUGAUGCUCCUAAUGAAAGUCUCUUCCCUCUGUGAGGAGACCAGGGGACUUCGUCAACAACUAGAUCACAUUAUUUGAACACUAGACAACCUACAAAGUUGGGAGGAGCUUCAACAACUUCUUGAAUGAUUCAACACCACUCAAUCAAGCUUUCUUUGUCAUAAUUUCCUAAGCAUCAACUAGAAAGCCUUUAUUAUGGAAUACCAAGAGGAGUUCAAAAUGAUGGCUGGCAUAUUGGGUCACUUACCCAAACAUAUUUUUGAAAAUAUAAUCCUAAAAGGGUUACAUAAUGAAAACUAAGUGGAAGUCACACUUUUAGAACAAAUUGGGCAUAAAAAGUUGAAGCUAAAUGUCAUAGUAAUAAGAUCUUAUUAAAGUAGAAGAAAUCUCCACAAUUUCACUAUUGAAGCUCCUAACUAUUCCCUUCAACAUUACUUAAUUCUUGAACAAGACCCUCAAAGGAUAAUGAUCAACGAAGGACAAAGAUCUAACCUUACUAUAGGUGGCUCACAUGUCAAGGAAUGCUAGUGAAUACAUCUCACUAUAGUACAAAUUCAAUCCUAAUGAGCUCAGGGACUCUACUUCUCAUGUAACGAUAAGUUCUUUCUAGAACAUCUCUACUACUAAGAACAAUAGGUGUUGGUCAUCCAAGAAGGAUUUAUCUUUGAUAAUAGGGCCAGACUCCAAAAGACUACACGACAUCGUGGGAAGAUCGAGUAAUCGACACUAUGAAAAUCAAUAUAGUAAUUUUCACAUUUGACCUUGUAGACAAGAUAUGAUUCAAAGGGGAGAAUAUUGAUGAGACACUAGUUGAUCAAAGACAUCCCUAGAGGCUUAACAAAUGCCUCAACUACUUUACCAAUAGAGAUGUCAGCAAAGAUUAACUAGAGAUAUCCUCAAGAUAAGUGCCACUAGAGAUUAACCAUUGAAAUUGAUUAGCAAUAGUUAUGGUAAGAGGAGGAAGGUGAAGAAAAGAUUAGAGGAGUAAUAAUAAGAGAUUGAUCAUCUUGUAAUGAGUCCUUAUCAAGAAUAGUUCUACAAUCUUAUUGUUGAGUACAACCCCUUCCAUUCUCCUAUUUUCAUUUUCUCUUCCCUUUAACUUUUAUUAGGUCUCUAUAUCAUGUACCUUUCAAGGGAUUUCUAGGCCUCUAGUGAAGUAUUUUUCUCCAAAAUAAUGAGUCCCCUUCUUUUCAUAUAUGGGGGCCCAUUAUGACUAUAAAGGGAGGGGCUUCUAAAGGGCUAGACAUGAGGAAGAACAAAGUAUUACUGUUGAAAGAGGAGAGAGACCUUGGAAAAUGAAUUAAUCAAGGAGAGAGAGCAUACACAAUGUUUAUAGAGAGAGAGAGAGAGGAGAGAGAAUGGAUAAUGGGCCCUUAAUGGGCCAGGUGAGCUAUAUAACAAUUACUAUGCUCACAAAUUGCAUAUAGCACUUGCACCACUAGAGAUAUGAGUUCAGUGCUAAUGGUUUGUCCAUUAGUAUAAAAGUACCUCACAAGUUUAUGCUUCCACCAAUUUACACCUCACCUCAAAAAUUAAAAAAAAAUUCGUCACAACGAUACAUGGUUACCUUAUGACAUGUGUUACCAAGGUCAACCUUCAAGCACAAACCUUAAUAGUAACUAUGUGUCAUGGUCCACGAUGAUGUAUGACCCAAUAAUUGAAUAGUUAAUCUCAUACAAAAAUGAGAAUUAACUAUCAUAGGGAACAUGUAUAUAAUAGGAUACCCCAACCCUUUACACUGAAUACCUUGAAAGUUAAGUUUAUCUUUAUUGAUUACGGAUAACCUCUCUUGAUCACAUUUGGCCCACUUAGGUAAGAAAAAUAGCAUAGGCCAAUGAAUUAUUUGAAGCUAUACAAAUCUUUGUUACAUUCAUAUUAGAGCAAAGUUAGAUCCCCUUGCUUCUUUCCUUAUUUUUUUCUAUUGGUAGAAAGAUAUAGAUGUAGAAAAAAGUUGGGUGGAUAUGAGUGGUGCCCAUGAGUAAAGGUUCGCCCAUUUAGAUGAGUAGUUUGGAGGUGACAGUUGCGACUAUAGAAUCCUUCACUAGUAAGAUGUAGGCGGGGUGAAUCCCUAUAGAGAGAGAAUGCGGACAAUUCAAAAGAAGAAUGGAUCUAGGUAGUAACAACACUUAUUGAAGCCUUGUUUAACCAAAUAGAUGAGGACAUAAAAAAUAGAGACAUAAAAAAAAGAGAUAAAAAAUAAUGAUAUAUUUUUGCCUAAAAAAGAGAGAUCCUCCCUUCAUAAAAGAAAUCAUGAGGAAAUUAGAUCAAGUUUAAAAUUAGUUGGAGGCCAACUUUCAAAAAGUAGUGGGAGACCUCCAUAAGAAGGUUGUAGGUAGUGGGAGACUAUAAAAGCCUUACAAUUGAGCCCAAAUUUUAUGGUCAAAAGAGGGAUAUCAUAAUAAUUAGUAAUCUUUUAUGAGAUCUACAAUAGUAUUUGAAUGUUAACGCAUCUUUGAAAGAAGAGAAAAUUUUCCUAAGUAGUCUUUAUUAGUUAGGACAUGCUAAGACAUAAUAGUGACUAAGGAUGGAAGAUAACUCACAACUAGUAGUAGCAUAGUGAGAGUACUUUGCCAAGAAAAUGUGAGGGCAAUUUCAUAUAAUGAAUUGUGAAAAAUCCAUCAAAAUUAUCAUGAGAUAAUUAAAAUAUAUCAAAUUUAUCUGUGAGUAUGUUGAAAAGAUUGUCAUGAACAUAUGUAGUAGCUUGUGAUAGAUUUUUGAUCUCCUUUAUCCAAAAUAUCCAUAGUCGAAAUAGGCCUCAAUUUACAAACGACCAUGACAUGUGUAAAGGAGCCCCUUCUUCAAAGCUUAUUUGAUGUAUGCAAGUACUCAUAAAGCGCCCUUUCAAUGUACCUUGUGUGACUCCUACAUAAAUUGGUUAAGGACACUAAAAACAUCAAACUAUGUAAGGAUGAGUAACUAUCAAGUAGAUUAGUUUCCCUAAUAAACGUUGAUGUAUGUUAGUGUCUUCUACUAGAAGGGAAUUGUUCUAAAGCUUUGGCUGAUAUUCUAUUGAUGAAGAUUCUACUUUACACCCUAGUAAUUAUGUUUCUUAAAGGAGAUCUAAGGCAUACUUUUGUUGAGAAAGAGCUAGUUAUCUCGAUUGAUAGGCAAACUCAAAUCCAAAGAAGUAGUACAAGGCUUAAAGAUCAUUCAUCACAAAGUGCUAAUGUAACUACUCUUUUGUAGUAGAGAUGUCUACCUCAUCACUGUUUGUUAAAAGUAUAUCAUUAACAUAAACACCAAAACUACAAAAGUCCUCAAAAAUGGUCUUCCACAUCACAAUAAAAUCAACAACAUAUGGAGUGAAGCUAUAGGCAAUAAGGAGCUAGUUGAAUUUCACAUACUAAACUCAGAGACUCUAUUUGAGCCCAUAUAUGGCUCAUCGGAGCAAGCAUACUUGAGAAGUCUCCCUUUUAAUAACAUACCUUAGAGGUUGUUCCAUAAACACAUGUUCAUAUAAGUUGUCAUACAUGAAGACAUUAAAGAUAUUCAGUUGGUGUAAGGACUAACCCUAAUUAACUAUCUGAGAGAUAAGUACUCGAAUGGAGUUGAGACGAACCACUAAAGAGAAAGUUUUCAUAUAAUUGAUGUCAUAUGUUUAAGUGAAACCUCAAGCUAUUAACCGAGCAAAAGUGAUGAGCCAUUAUACCAUCAAGAUUAUAUUUAAGGUUGAAAACCCAUUUGCACAUCACAUGUUAGUAUUAGUUCGACGUAGUACAAGUUAUCAAGUACCACAUGUUAUUAAGGCACGAUACACAAGAUCUAUGGUCACUUUUCACUCAUGUACCUAAAGAGCUUCAAGAUACAUCUUGAGAAGUGACUUAGAAGAAAUAAAGAGGGCAAAAACAUAAAAGGUAGGGUGAAGGCAGUCAUAAGAGACAAAAUUAGUAAUGGGGUACUAAGUGUAAGUAUGUUUACCUUUGUGUAGGGCAAUUAGAAGAUGGAGGUCAUCUAAAGGUGGAGUAGUAAAGGAGUGUGUGGCCUAAUCUAGUACCAGAGUGGAGACAAUUGAGGGUAUAUCUUGUAUUAGAUCUUGUGAAGAUGACAUGAAUAGUGACACCAUAUGAGUGUCCUUGAUAAAAAGUAAUAUGAGGUUGUGAAGUACGAUUGGAAGAGAGUGGUGGAAAACCUAGAGGUGGAGAAGAAGACACUUGAGAAAGAGUAGUAUGAGAAGAAAAGAAGGGUCUGUCCUAAUGGAAAGUGAUAUCAAUUGAAGUGAUACAAUGAUGAGUAUCAAGGAAGUAUACACGAUAGCUUUUUUACGUAUGCAAGUAGUCAAUGACGACCCUCUUAAGGGCACGAGGAGUAUGAAAACAGAUAAAGUGUGAUCAUUGACGAAUGUUAGAUAGCCAAAUAUACGAGAAAAAAAAGCCAAAGAGAGUUGCCUUGGGGUAGAGAUGUUAGAGGGGAAUAUCUUCAUUUAGGGGGGAGGAAGGUAGACGGUUGUGUAGGUAGGUGGCCAUCAUGAGAGUAUUAUUGUACUAGAGAUAGUGAGGGACAUGCAUCUCAUUGAAAAGUAUGUGAGUAAUGUCUAGUAGGUGGUGAUGUUUCUAUUCUACAACACCAUUUUGUUGAGAGGUGUAAGGGCACCUGGUCUAGUGUAUAAUAUUACGAUCAACACAAAAGGUAGAGAGAACAAGUUGAACUAACUCCAGGGCAUUGUUAGUAUGAAGAAUCUUAGGGGUAAUAGAGUGUUGUAUCAUAAUCUUGAUGAUGAAUUAUAUGACAAUGUUAGGGACAUGAGAAUAAUUUUUCAUGAGAUAUAGCCAACAAAGAUCACAUAGUAGAGGUGGCAUAAGAGAGAAUUAACCUAAGAUAGGCACCAAACAUUACAAUGAACAAGGUCAAACUAGUGAGAGGACAAGAUUAUGUUGUGAGGAGAGUAGGUGGAGUGAUGAUGUUUGCUUAAUUGGCAUGACUCACACAUAAACUUAGAGAGAGAAAGGCAUAGUAAUGAUUUUUGAAGUUUUGAAAAAUAAGAAUGUCCUGAACAAUGAUGCCACAAAAUAGAUAAAAAAAAGUAGAAUGAGCAAACAAGAUAAGAAGACCCAAGGAUAGUGUCUUGGGGACAAGCUCAUAGAUGUCACUACCAUUCUCAUACUUCAAAUCAAUCCAUUGUCUUAUAUGUAGAUCUUGAAAAAUACAAAGAAAGAGAAAAAAUAUAAUAACACAAUUAAGUGUACAUGUGAUGGCACUAAUGGACAAGAGGUUAGUGGGAAAAUUAGGUACAUGAAGGACAUCAUGGAGGGGUAGGGAGGGUAUAUGUGUGGUCAAUCUAUGACCCUUAAUGGACAUAAAUGACUAUUAGCAAUGGAGAUAGGAGGAUAGGUAGAUGUAGGUUAAAUGAAGAUGGGGACAAAUAGUGUACCCAUCAUAUGGGCAAAUUCCCCCAAGUCGAUAAUCUAAGACAAUUUAGAAGUAAUAAGGACAUAUACUUAAAGUAGAGGUAAGACUGGCCAAUGUGAUAGUGUAGGACAAAAUAUCAUAUGUUUGCUUUCAUGUCUCAUAUUUGGCGAGAGAGAAUGACACCUAGAUUGUUAGAAUAGUAGGUGUCGGUGGAGGAACUAUAGAUGUAAUAGGAGUGGCUAUACGAGAGUAGGCAAUAGAUAUCAAGGCUUGUGUCCAUUUGGGUUUCCCAAAUUCUUUUCAACACUUGUUAGAAGGAUAGCUGGUCUUGACAUAGUAGGUACAUGGGGGAAAUCCAUUCUUAACCUUAGUAGAACUCUUGCCCUUAUUAUAAUUCUUGGGGCCAUGGCCACCAUGUGAUCCUAAUGCUACUGUUACUAGGGCCAAAGGAUAUGGUAGAGCAAAUGAGACAAAUGACAUAAGAAUGCUUAGGGGUACACCAAUAAUAACUCAAAAUGUUAAAGAGAAAAUGGAGGCAAUCGACAAUAUAUGACUACUAGAAAGUACUUGACGAUAAAUCUAGAAGGCAAUGGAUGGGUGAAAGCCAUUGAGAUAGGCAUCGACAAAUAGUUAUUAAUGAUAAUGCUCCAAGUGCAUAAAUCAGUUGUGGAGGGCUAGCGGACCAAUAACUUCUAGAUGAUGUUUUAGAGUUUGCCAAAAUACUCCUAAAGAGUUUGAUUGCCUUGCUUGCAUGCAAAAAAAGCUUCAUAAAGUUUGAUUGUGCGGUUGAUAUUGGUCUUAUUAAUAUACAUCAUCUCAAGUGUCUGCCAAAGGGCGCAUAGGAACUUGAUGUGAUCAAGAGGUUGAGCAAUACUUGGAAUAAUGUUUCAACACAUCUAUAUAAGAACUGUCAAGUCAAGUUGUGACCACAACACAUAAGUACAUGUCGUGGCUACCGGAGGUGAUGUUAGAUAAUGUAACAAAUUAUGAGCUUGAAAAAAAUUUUCAAAGCUAUAUAUGCCCACGAUCAAUAAUUGAAAUUGUCAAACACAUAUGCCAGCCAAGUUAGUGGGGCAAUAAUAGAGUGAUGGGUCGAUAGUAUUGGAUCAACUACAAGACAAACAAAGGGACUAGAAGAGGGAGAACUAGAAGUAACAAUUCGUCGAUAGAAUCUACCAUCAGGUUGGGGCACGUAAGAGAGCAACAAUCAAAAGAUCAGGACACUAAUAGAUGAGGGCCAGCUAAGGCUGUUAGGGUAGGGCACUAAGGUGGCCUAGGUAGCCACAUGAGUAGCUUGGGCCUAAAAUAAUUUGGACAGUAGCUUGGACUUGGAAUGGCCCAAGUGAAUGCCAAUACUAGAGCAACAAUUUUAGUAGUCAAAGAAGACGGUGGCUAUGGAGGCAAUGAGGGAAAUGAUGGUGGCGACGAUGAUAGUGGCAACAAAUUAGGAGGGAACCCUAGGACGAGCCAGUACACAAUAAGGUGGGGGGGCAGUCUCAUGGCUCUAGUGCCAUGUGGAAUGAAAAACCUUUAAUCCUGAGAUUACAAGAGCUUAUAUAAAGGAGAGAAGAAGAUGGGUCAUUGUUGGGCCAUACUCUUAUAGUACAUACCAAAACUCAAUAGUAAAAAUAUAUUUAAAUAAUAAUAGUCAAAGAGUCAAGUAGGUAUUUGUGGGUUGUUAUAAAAAGAAGGUCAUAAAGGUUAAGAACAUAUCUUUUCUAAGUCUAGAACCAGCUUAGAAGAUGUCAAGUUGGGACAUGUCUAUUUCUCUUUUUGAACUUGAUUUACAUACUAGGACUGAAUUAAGGCCAAAUUUGAAAUGAUUCUAGAUGACUUUUCCCCUCACCUAGUGCAUGUCUACAAGGGUCAAGAAGUCAAGAUGGAGAUUGAACUGAAGGUGAAGAGGAGGAGAUCCCCUCUUUCUCUCUCUCUCUCUCUCUCUCUCUCCCUCUCUCUCUCUCUCUCUCUCUCUCUCUCUCUCUCUCUCUCNNNNNNNNNNNNNNNNNNNNNNNNNNNNNNNNNNNNNNNNNNNNNNNNNNNNNNNNNNNNNNNNNNNNNNNNNNNNNNNNNNNNNNNNNNNNNNNNNNNNNNNNNNNNNNNNNNNNNNNNNNNNNNNNNNNNNNNNNNNNNNNNNNNNNNNNNNNNNNNNNNNNNNNNNNNNNNNNNNNNNNNNNNNNNNNNNNNNNNNNNNNNNNNNNNNNNNNNNNNNNNNNNCUCUCUCUCUCUCUCUCUCUCUCUCUCUCUCUCUCUCUCUCUCUCUCUCUCUCUCUCUCUCUCUCUCUCUCUCUCUCUCUCUCUCUCUCUCUCUCUCUCUCUCUCUCUCUCUCUCUCUCCUCUCUCUCUCUCUUGCUCUCUCUUCCCACCAACUUCAAUGGGGUUUUCUACUACUACCACAAGGCUUUUGUUCCACCACCAGGGCAAGAUACUCGCUCACUAUGUGUCCUCUUUUACUGCCACAAGCUCCUCUACCGUUGUUGCAUGCUUUCUUCCAUUGCCACUACAGAAUCCUCCUCGCCAUGCAUCCUCUUCUGCCACCACAGGCUCCUCCACCACCAUUGCAUGUUUUCUUCUCCUACCAUUGCAGAAUCCUCCCUUGUUGCGCAUCCUCUUCUGUUGCCACAAACUCCUCUAUUGCUACUACAUACUUUCUUCCACUGCCAUCGCAUAAUCCUCUCUCACUGUACUCCCUCUUUUGUUACUACAUGCUCCUUUGAGACCACUACAUGUUUUCUUUUGUGCCCACCACAAAAUCCUCUCUAGCCGUGAGUUCUCUUCCAUUACCACAAGCUCCUCUACUACCGGUACAUGCUUCUCUUCUGCCAACAAUGUAGAAUCCUAGCUAGUUCUGUGUCCUCUUAUGGCACAUGUUCCUCCUGCCACAAGUUAUUUGAUGUUUUUGUAUUUUUAAAUAUAACACAAUUAUAUAAUUAAAUGAUUUUAUUUAUCUUAAUUUGUAAUAUUAUAAUUAACUGUUAUGAUUUAAAAGUUAGUUAUAUUAUAGAUAAAUUAUAACAUAUAUAUAUAUCUUUAAAUGUAGAUAGGUCAUAGGUCUGAACUUAGUUCUAAGUUUAGGUCACAACUAAAAACUUAAUUGAGACUAUGACCAUUGAUCUCUAGUUAUAGCUGAAAACUUGGGCACAAAUAAAUAAUUUUGAUCUUAGAGGGGGGUAUAAUGUUAAAACACUAUGCUGCGGACUUCUCCUGGGAUCAUUAAUGGUCUAUGCCCACAGAACAUGUCCGAGGGUGACACCCUGCCUAAGUCAUGGGCCUGGGGUCCAGUACAGAGCCCAAGUGUCUGUGCAAAGCUAUUUGGAUCCGAUAUCGCGGAGCGGAUCUGCAACGGACCAAGAAGAUACACGGAGGGGAAGAUCCGGCGGAUAAAGUGACCGUUGUGGGCCGGAAAACCGCUCGACGCACGUUCUCCCGUUAUGGGCCAGAAAGAAGGUGGCGUGGGGGGUUUUUCCAGGCGGCCCAGAUCGUGGGUGGGCUGUUCCGACCUUCAGGGGGUGCACGAGAGUCUUUGCGUUGACCAUCACCAUUUCCGCGUAAUCUUGGAGAAGAAAGGUAGCUAGUGCUGGCGACGGGGGCCAAGGCCAGUCCGGGAACGAAUCCAGGUGAGUUCGAUCCUUGACCCGUGAUACAAGGCACAGGCCCACUCCUCCGGCCCCAUGCUUACCAAAAGAAGUGGUGGACAGGUGACUCGGCAGAUACGUCCAUAUUUCAGCCGACUGCGCUCAAAUUCCGAACGGCCACAGUCGCUGUGAUAGCCGCUAUACUUUCUCCAUGGUAGAAAUUUUGACGGUCAAGUCAAUGUCGGACCGUGUGGUCGCCGUCGUCCUUCUUCGGAAGCAUCACCAGAGCUAGCAUCGCCGCGUACUAAAGUGGCGCAGACGGAGAACUUGUUUUCUUGUCUAACUGGUUCAACUCACGGCAUCGCAGACCUUGCAGGAGUGAGUUCCGUGGUGGCCCUAACCCACCUCCUCGGAGCUUAUCCCUGAGCCAUGCCGCUGGGCACGCCCGCCGCCUCUUUGCUCCUCCUGCUCACCUUUGUCCUCAUGGCUGGAGCGGAGACGGUGACCACCUAUUUCGACUUCCCUACGUUUGGCUCUAGCCGCGACAUCACCUUCCUGGGCAACGCCUCAUCCACCAACGGCUCUCUAGAGCUCAACGAAGACGGCAGCUACAGCUACGGCCGAGCCUUCUACUCGAACCCGGUCCGUCUCUGGGACAACAAAACGGGGAAUCUGGCAAGCUUGAUCACAAACUUCUCCUUCUCGGUGAUCCAGAGUCCGAACAGUACAUAUCACGGUGAUGGAUUAGUCUUCUUCCUCGCCCCCAUCGGCUACCCUGUACUGCAGAACAGAUUGGGUGGCCUAUUCACGCUCUUCAAUAGUAGUGACGAAUUGGUCAUGUCCCCCGUGGUAGCCGUCGAGUUCGAUACCUACUCAAACGAUUGGGAUACGGAGGUCGCCCAUGUGGGAAUCGACGUCGGCCACAUCGACUCCGUCAAAAGCUUGUCUUGGGAGUCGUUCGACUUCCCGACCAUCGACGCAGUGAUCUCCUACGACGCCGGCACCACGGAGCUGAGAGCCUCCUUUUCCGACGGCAACGGCUACAACAAGACCUUAUUUUACGUCGUCGACCUGAGAAAGGAGCUCCCCGAAACUGUGAACAUCGGCUUCGCGGGUGCCACUGGCAGAUACUUCGAACGCCAUGUGAUACAUUCCUGGAGCUUCAACUCAAGCCUGGAUGUUGUCGACCGUAACGGCAACACUACGAACGGCGGCGACACCGGAGGGGGCACCAUCACGGCUCCACCGGUCCCCCCUCCGAACAAGAAGAAAAGCAGCAUCGGUCUACUGGCUGGUGUGCUAGCCGGCGCGGGAACCUUGGCAAUCGCAGCGGGUUUGGCACUCGUCUUCGUCUGGCGAAGAAGGGCACAUGCGAAGAAUGGAGGACAGGACGGCGUCAUCAACGACAGCGAAUUUGACGAAGGCAAGGGGCCCAAGAGCUUCUCUUAUUCGGAACUCGCCCGGGCAACAAGCAACUUUGCGCCAGAACAAAAGCUAGGAAGAGGAGGAUUCGGAGACGUUUACAGAGGAACCUUAACCCGGCCGAAAAUGGUGGUGGCCAUCAAGAGAGUCGCAAAAGACUCGAGGCAGGGAAAGAAGGAGUAUGUCGCCGAGGUGAAGGUCAUCAGCCGCGUGCGCCAACGCAACCUCGUGCAGCUCGUGGGGUGGUGCCACGAGAAGGGGGACCUGCUUCUCGUCUAUGAGUACAUGCCCAACGGCAGCCUCGACGCCCACCUCUACGGCGGUGGCAAUCCGCUGCCGUGGCCGACGCGGUACAGCAUCGCCCGGGGUGUCGCGGCGGCGUUGCUUUACCUCCACGACGAGUCGGACAAGUGCGUGGUCCACAGGGACGUCAAGUCGAGCAACGUGAUGCUGGACGCCAAUUUCAACGCCAAGUUAGGGGAUUUCGGCCUUGCGAGGCUCGUGGACCACGGCGGCGGCAUGGAGACGACGGCCGUGGCUGGGACGAUGGGGUAC
This 21867-nucleotide long non-coding RNA is filed under the name Spirodela polyrhiza (greater duckweed). RNAcentral describes it as "long non-coding RNA (SPOL_LNC002646)". Lineage: Eukaryota; Viridiplantae; Streptophyta; Magnoliopsida; Alismatales; Araceae. The record is from RNAcentral.